AUGGCGAAUGUUCAAGCCAGGAUUCUUCAUCUGGAUCUCUCUAUCAUCAUUAUUUUCCUGAUUCAUGCAGAUUAUUCAAUAUCCAAUCAAGAGCCAAUGAUUAAGCAGCACAUCAACAAAACAGUGUUUGCGGGGGAAACAGUUACACUUCACUGCAACAAAACCAAAUAUGAUGAUGAUUUCACAUGGAAAAUGAACAGCUUCGUUAUUUUUAGGCAUGACUCUGAAAGUAACAGAACAAUGAGAAACUUCAGCUCAGACAGGAUUCACAUCGACCCAGCAGCUCCAAGAGAGUUAACAAUACAACAAAUACAAGCGUCAGGAAACUACAGCUGUUACCCAGCAGCAAUAAGAUGGACAUUAACAAUAACAGUAAACACAACCAGACCAGAAUCCCUCAAACAAAUGCCGCUGUACAUCAUCAUCAUCAUCAUCAUCAUCAUAUUCAUCUGUCUGAUCAUCACCAUCAGCAUCUGCAUUCACAGUAAACUGAGGCAGAUGAAGAAAAACUCUGAUCUCUGUGAAACAGACCCGGAGGCUGAAAGUUUAUUUACCACAAAACAGGUCAUUAUUCAGCUUACAUGGGAUCUGUUAUUGAAUUCAUACAUUGUUAUACAUUUUAAUCUAAAUUCUACAACUCUGCAUGAUCUAUACAGGUGAAGAUGAUCUCUGACUGUGACAAACACACAGUAACAGCCUGU
RNAcentral lists this long non-coding RNA (701 nucleotides) under Carassius auratus (goldfish). RNAcentral's name for it is "lncRNA (ENSCARG00000011763.1)". Lineage: Eukaryota; Metazoa; Chordata; Actinopteri; Cypriniformes; Cyprinidae. The record is from RNAcentral.